GACGAACGCUGGCGGCGUGCCUAAUACAUGCAAGUCGAACGCUGAAGAGAGGAGCUUGCUCUUCUUGGAUGAGUUGCGAACGGGUGAGUAACGCGUAGGUAACCUGCCUUGUAGCGGGGGAUAACUAUUGGAAACGAUAGCUAAUACCGCAUAACAAUGGAUGACACAUGUCAUUUAUUUGAAAGGGGCAAUUGCUCCACUACAAGAUGGACCUGCGUUGUAUUAGCUAGUAGGUGAGGUAAUGGCUCACCUAGGCGACGAUACAUAGCCGACCUGAGAGGGUGAUCGGCCACACUGAGACUGAGACACGGCCCAGACGCCUACGGGAGGCAGCAGUAGGGAAUCGUCGGCAAUGGGGGCAACACUGAGCGAGCAACGCCGCGUGAGUGAGGAAGAUUUUCGGAUCGUAGAGCUCUGUUGUAAGUCAAGAACGGGUGUGAGAGUGGAAAGUUCACACUGUGACGGUAGCUUACCAGAAAGGGACGGCUAACUACGUG
Molecule: ribosomal RNA, 497 nt
Filed under: uncultured bacterium
Lineage: Bacteria
Description: partial 16S ribosomal RNA
Rfam family: Bacterial small subunit ribosomal RNA
Source: RNAcentral